This is a non-coding RNA of Penaeus vannamei (Pacific white shrimp), 3638 nucleotides long. The record is from RefSeq and is a predicted model, not a curated record. NCBI's taxonomy places the organism in Eukaryota, Metazoa, Arthropoda, Malacostraca, Decapoda, Penaeidae.
AAUAGUGUUCUUACUUCUGACAAGCCUCUUGCAACAGAUACAUACAAAUAAGGUUGUUUCUGGUGUGGGUCAAAGAAAGCUUUAGGAAAAGUGAAUGAAAUUAAAAUGCAGGCUUUCUUACCAAGACUUGUAGGACAUGAAAGAAUGCAGACACGUCAGUUCUCUGUUGAUGGUAAUAACUUCUAUCAUAGUAGUGGAUAACUAGUUACAGAACAAACAAAGACUAUGAUAAGAAUGAGUGCAACAAAGCAGUGAUAUCGUAACAGUGGUGGCAUCUUUAGUGUCAUAACGAGAUUCAGAAGCACUCGCAUGAAGUUCAGGUUAAUGAACCAUGGAAAGUGCUUGUGUUUGCAAGGGUAACCACACCCAUGUGAUUGGAAGUUUAUUUAUUAUAUAAUUUUUCUUUUUCAACUUGAAAAUAAUACAUUGUCUUCUGUUUUAUUAAUGAGUGAAGGUGAAUAUUGGUCAUUAAAAAAAGGUGAAGAAAAAAAAAAAAAGGCAGAGGAAGUUGACUGGUAACAUUUGCAAACACAACUUUGGAUCUCUGUGUCACAUUUACCGUCCUGGUGCCAAGAUAGUGACAAUGCUCAGUACAGCGUUUUAUCCGCUUGUCUGAGACCCCACACCAAAGUUUGUGCAAGGUUGGCUUGUAUGUCAGUUUGAAAUCAAGAUAAAUUUCCCCAUCACUGUAAUUAUGUUCAACUGGAUGCGAAUUUUGGAUUCCUCAGUUCUCAAAGCUAAGACAAAGUAGGACAAAGGAUGCACAGAUUAGAAAGAUAACAGUAUGAGUGAAAUGAUAGUACUUUUUCUUUUAAUUUUAUUCUACCAUCCUUCUUAACGAUGCACAGAUUGCAUGAAAAGUGAUAAGUCUUAAUCAAGAUCUCAAAGUGGUAUACAAGCACAUCCAAGUGUGUAUUGUUGCCUGUUGUAUCCUAACUGUAUAUAGCGGAACCUAUCCUAGUCGUGUAGUUCGCUGUGCUGUACCCCAUAAUGUGCAUUUGUAAAAAGUAUUCUCCAGCACAUGUACAGUUAGCAACAUAACCUUUCAUGAACAUAUUACAGUGUGCGAUGUAAUAAUGUACAGCUCUAUAACUACGAUAAUAUAAGAAUUUGGUUAGUGUAAUAUGAUAUUAAAAGGAGAACCAUGUCGCUGUGGGGUAAAAAAAAAUUUGUUUCAGCCAUUUUCAUUUUCCUUAUACACAAUAAAGGAAAAAAGAAAUCUGUUUUGUUAAGUAACAUCAAUUUGUAUGAUUUUACUAAAGUUGUUUACCAAGAAAAAGUAAUGCAAUGGCAAAUUUAAGAAAUAUACGUUGUUGUUUUUUUUCUACUGUAAAGAUAUAUAUAUAUAUCAAUGUGCACAAAUAUUUGGUACAUACUAAUUGCUGUGAAAGAAUUUCUACUGAAUGGAAAAAGAAAAUGUAUAUUUAAUGAUUUUUUGUGGUCUUUCACUAAUAGUUGACAUGUAUAGGUAAAAUAACACUACUGAUAUUGUAAGAUAUCAGCUUUUGGAUUAAGUUAUUAUUUAUUUGGAAGAGUAGAAACUAAAGGUACAUUUUGUAAUAAUUAAAUUACUUAGGGCAAGAUCUAAGUAUGUUUAAUUGCAACUGUAGUGUUCACUAUCAUUUUGCUUAAAUUGUAUAAAUAAUGAGUGAGAAGCCAUCUUCUUUAUCAUUUGAUACAUAUCUCAUUUGGUAUUGCAUAUCUUAGCUCUUACUUGUGAAGCAGUAAUGGAAAAAAACGGACUCACAUUAGGCAGUUUACUGAUGUUGUGUUAUUCACCUUUUUUCUAUUAUGUGCUAUUUAUGCUUAGAAUAAAUUUUGUAUGUGUGGGAGAAAAAUAGUUUAUUUAUUCAUUAUUUCACUACGUAUAACAAGCUAGCAAUAUAUUUAUAUGGUUAGUCUGUAGUGGGAAAAAAGUGCUCAGAGAAAAAAGGAAAACAGUUAUAUCAAUUUACUUCAGUGUCACAAAACAUUCAUGGCAGUUGUGGUCAUGGAAAUGCAAGAUUCUAAAAAGAAAAAGGUGGAUACUUCUUUAGAUCAGCUCGCUACUUUACAAAACUUUGUAAUACAGCUAAUUAAUUGUGCUCAGAAUUAGAGUUGUAAUAGGUUAAUUUUCAGGUAUAUUUUGAAAUGACAAAGAGCAUAUAAUCAUUCUACGUAUGAGCUCAUUUGUUUAUGGUAGCUUCUUAGACGUUAACAUUGCUUUUUCAGUACCUGCAAGCUCUGAAAAUAAUGGUUUGUUUAGUUACACUACCAUAAGCUUCAUUUGGAAACCAGUUAAAAAGUGAUAUGGUAAACUAUUUUCACUAGUCACUUCUGACGUUUGACUAUUUGGUCAGACUGAAGAAGAAGGCCUUGUUGAUAUUGUGUAAUGAUGUAAUGGGAGUCGUUUCCAUUAUGUAGUAGGGUAUUGGAUGGUGUAUUCCCUGCAGUUUCUGAUUCCUUAUUUACCUUCUGAUAAGCAUCUGAUAAGCAAGCUUUAGUUCAGAUUGAGAAGCAGAAUUUUUUUCCUAAUUUAAUGUUAAUUACACAAUGCAAGUAAAUUUAUAUUCAUAUCUGAAUAUGCAUUUUGUAGUCUGUACGUAUGAGUGUCUUCAUCUGUAGACUUGUUCUACAGAAUUACCCUGUAUUUAUUUUGUACAGUAUUUUGUAAUAUGUAAAGCUUAUUUCCUUACAUGUUACAUGUUGUAGCAGCAGUAGCUUAGCUUCAAAAGUUCAGGCCAGCUUUAAUAUCUUUUUGUUGUAUUUUAUUGUAAGGACUUAUCAUGUCCAAAGUGAACAUUCAUUUCUGAUGUUCUACUAUGGUGACAAUGCCAGAACCACACUGCCAAGACUGCAGUGGGUUCUGCUCUCUUGGUACUGUAUUAUUGAUGAUACAGUACAAUAUAAUACAAGCAAGUGAAGAGUAAACUUACCCCCCUCUUUUUUUUUAGCAGGUUUGUCUCAAUAAACAUUGCUGGGGCAUGUGGACUAUAAAACGCUCAAGCUUUGUAUCUAAACACAUUUUUGAGUUGGUGCUUCAGUACAGAAAAAAAACUUAAUUGUUAUUCAAUUCUUGUUGUAUCAAGUAGGUCAGUUGUAAUGGCCUAACAUACUGGCAUUGUAGUCAGUAUUAUAUACACACAAAAACAAAAUAAAACAGGAUAAUUGACUGUGCAUCAUGUAUUAUGAUGUUAUGUUUGCAUAACCAAUGUUCCAUGUAGAAUGAAGCAAAGUAUUUUACAAAGAAGUGAAUGAAUCAGUCAAGACAAAAUUACCGUAAGUCAGUGUUCCCACUAAUAUCUGUAUAAGUCAGGAUUACCAACAUAUUUUGUCAGAAAAGCAUUCUACAGAUUGAUGCCAACAGAAGCUCUUGCAAUUUUCCAUUCAGGUGAAACUUUCAGAAUUAGGGAUUUCUUACAAAAUCUAUAUAGACAUUAAUAUCAUUUUAUUUUUUAUUUUUUUUAUACCUCAAACAUUUUUUUGGUUCCAUAUAUUGCACUUCUCUCUCUCAAGUGAUACUAUUAAAAAGCCAUAGUGCAGAAAUACUGCUCUUUCUGUUCAUGUAGCCUUUGGCUGUAAUCCUGUUUAACGAUAUGUAUUGUUAGGCAUUACUUGAUGUAAUUCCAAGAACAGUGAAUAAAUGAUAAUCCUGUUGG